Molecule: long non-coding RNA, 3653 nt
Organism: Triticum aestivum (bread wheat)
Lineage: Eukaryota; Viridiplantae; Streptophyta; Magnoliopsida; Poales; Poaceae
Exons: 8
Source: RefSeq, a predicted model, not a curated record
UACGAGAGGGGGAAAGAAAAUGCGUCGUUCCACGGGUGGGGACAAAAGAGAGAGCAGUUCUUUUUUCCCAACGCAACCUCCUCUCCUUCUUUCCCAUCCCGACCGGCGGCUAGGGUUCCCCGGCGCCGCCACAGCUACAGCCACCGGCGCCAUCCCUGCUCGUCCAGCGCUGGCCACUGGAGAAGGUGGACGCCGUCUCCGUCUCCGUCGCCGUCUCCGUCGCCGCCUCCGACAUCGACCUCAACCUCGACCGUGUCUGCGGCAGCGGCAAGGACCUCCGCCCGUAGGUCUCCUUCUCGUCAAGCGAGCGCUCGGGACGAGCAGGAUCUCAAUCUCGAGUGGGGGACAGACGCGGCCACGGGCAGCCGCCGGGGACGCCUCUGCAUCGUCGGAGGCGGAAUUAGGGGAGCAGCAGGCGGCGAUUCUGGUGGUGGAAACAUUGGGUGUCCUCGGCCAGUGCUGGUUGUCCUCGCUGGCAACCUCGCCGGCUCCAACCCGUCCGUAGACACUAAAAGGGUGCAGGUCGAGAUGAUGGUGCUGAGCACGGAUGGGAAUGGCGAGAUGCGGAUGUGCGUGCUGCAGCCCAGCAAUUUUUCAGGCCAGGCAAUUCAAGCUUGGUGAGGUUCGUUGCUGGAUACGCAAUGUCUCAAUUGGGCAAGGAUUUGGCAAUGAAAUCUGAUGAUAGUGUUGUAUCUCAUGCUGCACAUUUGAUGGUUGGCAUGCUAACUGGGAGUCUAGCUCACGUAACAUCCAAUGAGCGAUCAGAAUGAAGGUGAGGGGGUUGCAGAGGAGGAAAUAAGAGGAGUAGAAAAUUAAGGAGACGAAUCCAAGGAUCUGUACCGGAGGGGAGGACAUGAGGCCCAUAUAUGAUGGCUCGUACUGGUAAAGCAAGUUGACAGGCAGCAACAUGAGCACCAAAGGACAUCAUCACCAUCCGAGUGCCCUAGCUGCUAUCGCUUGCUGUGAGUAUUUUUGCCCCAAGUGAGAUUACGAUAUCAUGCAUCCUCUUUCCUAUUUAUUGCUAAUAUCAGCACAAUGCUUUGGUCCUCUUCACGUUUUAUUUGUUCUGCUUAUAUACCUUGCAAUCAUUAUGAUGGUAAGUAGCCAAUGGUAUAAUGUUGCUUCUCUUACUAUGCCAUCAGCCAGUUUUGGACUUCUUAACUUUGUUGCCAAAGGUAUAUGUAGGCCUUAAAUAUACACAUCAUAGCAGAAGUAUGGGAUGUUCUGUUAGUUAUUUGGUUUAUGUCAAGCUAUGUGUCGGCCUUCUCCUUCUGCUUCUUCCACAAGCAUAAAUUUUGCUUGCACAUUAUAAUUACCAAAUGCAUAAUUUUUCCUUGUAGGCUAAAUUCUGUCAGGUUACUUAGAUCUAUUUGAAGUUACAUUUCCAUUAUUUUUCCUGUUCCCACUAAAGCGGUUUCAAAGGAAAUAGAGCGAAUUGACCAACUUUUCUAUACAUAUGCUGAUAGCUCAUCCAGCAUGAAGUUACACUUGUCUGCGAUUAUUUUUUAUGUAUACUCAAGGUAGCCAUCCUUCCAUUUAGAUAUUCUACAUAUACUCUCCAAUUAGGGAUAUCAUGCUUGGUAAAAAUAAGAGUUGUUUUAUACGAAUCAUUGUAAAUAGUAAUUUAACAGUUUUCAAUGCUUAUGUAAUCCCAUUCAUGAAAAUGUAUACUGUAGUUGAUACAUAUAAUUUCGAUGCAGCUAAAUGUUAGCUUCAAACAACUCCCAUCAUGCGAGCAGGUGUAAGAGACUUCUUGAUUGGGUAGUUUAGGUUGAACUUUGGUGCAGAAGUAAGAAUGUUAAUUAUGUUACCUCCUGUUCUUAUGAGAAAAUAGUUUUCGUGAGAAUUAUCCCUGUUAUAAAUACAUCAUUUCGUUUACUGAUUUUAGGUCUGUUGUGGGUGUUAGAGGAGAUAGAUCGGGCAGAACUACAACCUGAGGUUGUGUAGGUUUAGGGAUACCUCUUGCCAAGGUUACAUUUUAGGUUUUGACGAAACACAAAAAUAUAUACUCCCUCCGUCCCAUAAUAUAAGAUUUUUAGCACUACACUAGUGUCAAAAAUGUUCUUAUAUUAUGGGACAGAGGGAGUAAUAUUUAAAUAAAGCCCAGUUCAUCUGUGAAAUAAUUAUGAAUAUCAAUCCAAUAAAGGUAUGAUGUACAGUGGCAAUAACAUUUUAUAAUUCUUUGGUAAGAUCACUGAAAACUAUUAAAUUAUGUUCUCUAAUUUAUUAUAGUUAGCUUUGUUUCAGAUUGGGUGUUAAUAGAAACCAUAUCCAUGUAUUGAUGGAUUCACAUUUCAAGGGAAACUACUGAAAACGAAAGGCGACAUCUUUGAUAUUUUUUUUACUCAUUAUUCACAAUGUGAACUUUGGGACUGUCUAAACGAAACUAUGACAUGAUAUGUUUCCUUUAUUCUUGAUUUGUUCAAUUUCAUACACCUGCUCUGCCCUAGGUUCAAACGACAAAAUCUAUAGCCUCACUCUGAAGGUCCAAGGAGGUGGAAGCACCAACCAUGCCCUCAACAGAGCUGCUCCAUUGGAUUUCAAUCCAAGGAUGACAUCCAAGAAAAGAAAGAUACAAUGGUUACUUGCGGCGACAACGACGGCGAAGACUGGACCGGGAUCUGGGACGGUGGAUGUAUUGAGCUCGAGCUGAAGAUCAGCCACUCCAUCCACGACCAAUGCUUCUUUUCCUUAUUUUCAUGGAGAUGAUUUCAGUACUCUUUAUCCGUGUCAUGUUAGAGCCAAGAUGCAUGUGCCACUCGUUCCAUCAAGUGUCUAAUGAACUUUCAGUUUUGUUCCUGGUUUAUCUUGGCUUCUUGCUGCUUAAUAUGCCUAUGAUUCAAUAACAAUACCUACUAUAAAAAAAGAAAAUGGAAGGGGUGCUUCCUACCUGGCACCGCCCAACUUGCUCUCUUUGUUCAAUAUUGUGUCGAGUCCCCAAGGGAACAUGGUGCUGUAUAAACAAUAGUGGAAAGCACAGGGCUCUUGAGAAUUAGGAUUUGUUGGUUUCAGUCGUUUCAAGUUUUACUCGUGAAAACCUUGAGAUUAGUUUGUCUGUUGAGAACAAUAUAGGGUCAAUAUAAACUCUGGGAUACAUCUAAAAAAAGUUUGGAGAUCAUAUUUUGUUUUUGCUAUGUCACCAGCACCAGAUGAUCAAGUUUUUCUUUUUGUUGCUGAAAGGAUUUUUUUUUGUUUUUUUUCUAAGGACGUGUCCAAUGUGGUGCUACUUGCCUAGCGUGAUUUUUGUUGGUUGCUGAGAAGAGUUCGACGCUGCUCAACAUUUUUGCCUCAAAAAUAAAAAGUCUGACGCCUACCAAUUCUCCUACUGAGGCUCCUAUGAACGGCCGAUCGUCAAUUUGAGGAUAUUCGUGUUGAGGCUGCAAAGAAGAGGCACCGUGCCACCAAGAGUCUGUAUGGUCUCGCUGUUCUACGCUAUUGACGACCAUACCACCGUCUAUGCAUAGAAUCCAUGUGCCGUGUUUCCUGUUUCUCCAAGGCCUUUUAAUUCUGCCAUAUGAUGUGAGGAAAUAUGCCUCUGCUUUAUUAUCUAUAUCAUAGUUCAUGUAACCUCUAAAGAUCCAGUCCUUGAAUGUGUUGUAUUCGCACAACUGUCUUAUUGUUUCAGUUAGAAACUUCUCUGAAUGUGUUGCUUU